Molecule: transfer RNA, 90 nt
Filed under: Streptomyces hygroscopicus
Lineage: Bacteria; Bacillati; Actinomycetota; Actinomycetes; Kitasatosporales; Streptomycetaceae
Description: tRNA-Arg
Source: RNAcentral
GUCAGGGGCAGGGCGGUUUUGGCCCGGGUGGCUACGGCCCGCCCGCGGGCGGCAACCAGCCCCCCGGCGGCUUCGGACCGCCCGCGGGCG